UUUUUUUUUUUUUGGCUUAAGCCACCAUCUGGGACAUCAUUAACAUCUUUUCUUUGUCCUUUCAUGAUUGCAAAAAUAUAUACAUUAUCACAUAUAUAAAUAUAUAUUAUAUAAUUAUGUACCAAUCAUAGCAUGUAAAAUAUCAUGCAUAUACAUUAUAUUUUUAAAUCAAAUUCAUGCAACAUGAAUAAAAUGAUAAAUUUGACAUGCAUGUUCUUGCCAUAAAAGUUUCUUCUAUAUCAAAUUUUGGUAAUAAGAGUUCUUAUUUCUCUUCAUAAACUAUCCAAUAGAUAAUCACAUUUUAAAAAAAAAUAAAUAUGAUUAUUCAAAUAGAAUAAUUAUUCAAUAAAUGUCUACUUGAAUAAUCACAGUCUUUGUUAAUAUUAAAGUACUUUUGGUAAUAAGAGACAUAACUUAUCAUUCUGAAUAGUGACAUAUCUUCAUUAGUAACCAACUGACAUAACUUUGGGUAUUUAAGUGACAUACCUUAUCACUAUAAAUAGUGACAACUCUUGAUCAAUAAUCAAGUGAUACAACUCUUGGUUACUUAUAACUUUGGCAUAAUGACUUAUUUAACUUUUCAACUUAACAAAAAAAAUCAUUUUAGCCAUUUAUUUAAUUUUUUUUUGUUUUAGCAUUUGAACUUGUAUUUUUUGUCACAUCACCUCAAAAUAGAUGGAAAAAUUAAUAUUUGUAAACUCUACUAACACGGCAUACAUGUGGAUUGCCAUGUCAACAUUUAAUUACUUUUUUAAAAUUUAAAAUAUUAAAAAUAUUAAAAAUAUUUUAUAAUAUUUUAUAAUUUUAAUGAUUUUUAAUUUUUAAAAUUUUAAAAAUUAAUUAAAUGCUGACAUGUCAUCCACGUGGCAAUUCACAUAUAACAUUAGCAAAGUAAAAAAAAAAGGUAAUCUACAAAAAUAGUUACUUUUGUUUGCCUCAGGUUACAUUUUAGUCACUUAUGUUAUUAUUUUGUUACGAAGUGAUCACUCUACUGUUAAGUUCCGUUAUCUCUCUAACGGUAAUCGUAGGUAACAGUCCAACUAGAUUUAAGGUGCCAACUUAGAUUUCUAAAUGGGAUGAAAAUAAAUUUUUAAUUAAAAAAAUUUAAUUAAUUAAAAUUUUCAAAUGUAAACCUUAACUAAAAAAACUGUUGAUCUCCUCUUUUUAAUUUUUCUUAUGUCUCUUAUUUUUUUCAAUGGCGUUUUUUUUUCAUUUGAUUGGAAAAACUAUUAUUAAGAUCAAAAUAGUUGAAAUCAACAAUAAGAAAUAAUAAUCUGGAAUACCCACAAAGAGAUUGUGAACAUACAAGUUGAUUCAAAUUAGAAAAAAAUUUAAUUGAGAAACUAAUUAUUCAAGAACUGUGAAAGAACUAGAAAAUAUAAUAAUCAGGAACAACAACAAUGAAAGUAACAGCCUUUUUCUGAAAAUUUUAAAAUUAGCAUGAAUGAAACAUGUUUCUGGUUGCAUUUUAUAGGAUGUCUAUUGACGCAAAAUAAAAUACAUGUUUACAAACAAUUUCAAAAAAUAGAAGAAAAUAUCAAGAAUUUUAAUUUAGGGUUUUCAUUAAAUAAUAAAAAUCUAAUCUUUUGUUUUUUAAUACUGAAUAAAAGAGAUAGAGGAAUAUAAAGAAGACAUACCUGAACCUUCCAUUGAAUCCAUCUUUAUGAAGCAGUCAAUUUGAUUUCAACUAUUUUGAUCUUAAUAAUAGUUUUUCCAGUCAAAUGAGAAAAAAAAACCCAUUGAAAAAAAAAGAAAAGAUGGAAGAAAAAUUAAAAAGAGGAUAUGAACAGUUUUUCAGUUAAGGUUUAGGUUUAAAAAUUUUAAUUAAUUAAAAUUUUUAAUUAAAAAUCUAUUUUCAUCCCAUUUAAAAAUCCAAGUUGGCACUUAAAAUCUAGUUGGACUGCCACGUAAGAUUACCGUUAGAGAGAUAACGGAACUUAACGGUAGAGUGAUCACUUUGUAACAAAAUAAUAAUAUAAAUGACUAAAAUGUAACAUUUCAAAGAUAAGUAAUUAAAAUGUAAUCUAAGCCAAACAAAAGUGACAUUUUUAUAGAUUACCUAAAAAAAAGUGAAGGUGAUUUAACAAAAAAAUAUAAGCUUAAGAGCUAAAAAGAUAAAAAAUUAAAUAAAUCGCUAAAAUAGCUCUUUCUGUUUUUUUUUUUAUAAAUUUAGAAGGUCAAAUAAAUCAUUAUACCUAUAACUUUUCAUUUCCAACAAAUAUUUCACCUACAUGUGAAAGACUUACAAAAUUAAUCUGAAGUUAAAAAGCUGAAACUAGACUUAAUGAAAUUUCAUCCCUAACAACUCUAGUAUUUUAAUUUCCUAUAGAUAAAGUGUAGUAAAAUCCUGAAGUUACUCCAGGAUUUCAUAUCUUUUAUCUACUCCAAAAACCAUACUUGUGUCUUUUAAUCAACGACAAAACAAACCCAACAAUUUUAUCCAGUCAUUAGGAUGGGUUUAUACAUGUUUAAUUAUAUUGUAAUUUCCUAUAAAUUAUUACACACUAAUAAAAGUUGUUUUCAAGCAUUCGAUAGCAUCAAGGUAAUUGUACCUCAAUUCGAUCGCGUUUGAUUGUUUGCUGAUGUAAUGGCUUGCUUUGGUGGCUAUUGCUUGUUCCUAUGGCUUUGAAUCCUCCUUUUCCUGUUUAGUAAUGGAGGCCUGAUUGAAGUGUAAGUUUUUCCUGAGCAGUCCAACUCGGACUUUAGAUUGAUCGGCUUUCGAGUGAACUGUGACUCUCGUUCAAGUGUACUAAGAUUGUUGAAAGCUUUGGCUCAUUUGGAGCUAUUGCUCUUGCUGCAUGUAAACCUAUUGGAAAAACAUUUGUUAAGGACCCUCCAGCAGUAUCAAGCCCUUUCUCAAGAAUCGUAAGAGAUUUCAUAGCAGCCACACUUGGUUUUGAUUUUGCCCAAGCCCUGUUUUCACGAUCCACCCUGGGGAGAGUUGUACAAGUAUUUCAUCUUCUAAAUGUUUAUUAACUACUGGAUUAUUAUCUACUUCUUUAGGGAUUUUGAAGAAGGUCGUGAUGUUGAAGUACUUGAAGCCAUGACUUGUACGGAAGAACCAAGGCUGUUUAUUGAUGAUUUACAUUCAAACUCCUUAAUGAUAGUGAGAUUAUUUAGUUUCCAGGAUUCCCAGUGCUUUGAUAAAAAGAAACAGGGGUUUGUACUAGAAGCGUAGAAAAUUAUUAUAAAAAGCCAGCAUAGUAACAUACAAAGAAGAUAAGGGUUUCUCAGUGGAUUACUGCAAAGUUUAGCAACACUUGUUUAAAAAUUACAAAAUCUCAGCCGAGAAUAAACAAAUUCAUACAAGACUUGUUUAUGAAUCAAGCUGAGCAUACCAGACACCAGUGAUCUUGACAUCCUUUGGAGUCUUGGCACCCAAGUCAGUGUCAGAUGGCUGAAGGCUCUCGAACACACCGAUAACUUCACCGGUCUCCGGCUUGCUCUUUGUGACGCUCAAGGUGAUUUUCCCUGAUGAAGAUGCAGCACUCUUGUUGUUCUCCUUGGCUAGCUCUUCCUCAUCCCCUCUUCCUCCAGCAGGCAAGGCCACUGCAUUAUCGUAACCGGUUGAGCCACCCCUUCCCUUUGGGUCCAAGAAAGAUGAGCCACGGUAGGAUGGUACAAGGAAGUCUCCUCCAAAGCUAUCAGGUUUGCCUGAUGCAACCAAUUGCUUGAUGGUGAACAGGAAAGGCACACGCUCACCACCAGGAAGCUGAACUGUGACGGCAGCAUAAUCAAUCCCAUCUUUCUCCUCGAAUUUGAGGGUGCCAUCGGUAGAUACCUCGAAAGGGCCCUCGAUUUCGUCAAGGGUGUAGGUUAAACGGGUCAUGAGCUUGGUGUUUUGGAACUCAGGAGGGGCAUUCUUGUUAACCCCCUCAGCCUUGACAGUGAAGGAAGUGGGCUCCAAGCAGAACUUCUUGGCGUAGUAUUUGCCAGGCUUGAAGGCAAAAGAGUCGACACCACCAUCGAUGGUUGGGCACUGGUUAGCAGUUCCUGUUCCUUUGACUUCCAUGUAUGUCUUGCUUUGGAUUUCAGCGUAGGUUAGCCGCUUUGGAACUCCUUCAGCGCUUGCUCCCUUCAAAACAAACCAGUCAUUGUAACAUAUUUGUUCAGAUCACGGAUCGUAUAUGAUCCUUAUGUAUGCAAUCAACGAUACUUGGCUCAAAUGAAAAAUCCAAAUGACAAAGUUACAACACCAUGCAAGCUCAUUAAGAAUCCUACCUAAGCUACAUAAAAAUAAAUACAGAAAUUUGAAGCAAGUGAGAGGCGAGAAGUACAUACCGAGACAACAAGAGCAGAUGUAGCAAGAGCGAAACCAGCGAGCUUGGUAGCAUCAACACACUUCAGAGCC
Molecule: long non-coding RNA, 4351 nt
Filed under: Gossypium barbadense (sea-island cotton)
Lineage: Eukaryota; Viridiplantae; Streptophyta; Magnoliopsida; Malvales; Malvaceae
Description: long non-coding RNA (GBAR_LNC010233)
Source: RNAcentral